This 1245-nucleotide ribosomal RNA is filed under the name metagenome. RNAcentral's name for it is "bacterial LSU rRNA". It matches the Rfam family "Bacterial large subunit ribosomal RNA", at positions 1564 to 2818 of the family's 2925-position model. The record is from RNAcentral.
UGAAUACGAGAUGCUACGGCGUCGAAGCAGUCUAUGUCAUACUUCCAAGAAAAGCUUGCACUGUCAUAAACAAAUAAUGCCUGUACCAUAACCGACACAGGUGGGUAGGUAGAGUAUACUAAGGGGCGCGAGAUAACUCUCUCUAAGGAACUCGGCAAAAUGACUCCGUAACUUCGGGAGAAGGAGUGCCUUAUUUAUAAGGUUGCAAUAACAAGAUCCAAGCAACUGUUUACCAAAAACACAGGUCUCCGCUAAGUCGUAAGACGAUGUAUGGGGGCUGACGCCUGCCCAGUGCCAGAAGGUUAAAGAAGUUGGUUAGCAUCCGCGAAGCUGAUAACUGAAGCCCUGGUGAACGGCGGCCGUAACUAUAACGGUCCUAAGGUAGCGAAAUUCCUUGUCGGGUAAGUUCCGACCCGCACGAAAGGCGUAAUGAUUUGGAUACUGUCUCGGAGAGGGGCUCGGUGAAAUAGACUUGUCUGUGAAGAUGCGGACUACCUGCACCAGGACAGAAAGACCCUAUGAAGCUUUACUGUAACCUGAAAUUGAAAUUGGACUUUACUUGCGCAGUAUAGGUGGGAGGCGUUGAGAAUAUUCUUGCGGGAUUAUUGGAGCCAUCAGUGAGAUACCACUCUUGUAAUGUUAGAUUUCUAACUUUGUAUCAUUAUCUGGUCAAAGAACAGUUUCAGGCGGGCAGUUUGACUGGGGCGGUCGCCUCCUAAACGGUAACGGAGGCGCACAAAGGUUUCCUCUGAACGGGUAGAAAUCGUAUCUAGAGUGUAAAGGCAUAAGGAAGCUUGACUGUGAGACCUACAAGUCGAGCAGGGACGAAAGUCGGUCUUAGUGAUCUGACGGUGCUGAGUGGAAAGGCCGUCACUCAACGGAUAAAAGUUACUCUAAGGAUAACAGGCUGAUCUCCCCCAAGAGUUCACAUCGACGGGGAGGUUUGGCACCUCGAUGUCGGCUCAUCGCAUCCUGGGGCGGUAGUACGUCCCAAGGGUUGGGCUGUUCGCCCAUGAAAGCGGUACGCGAGCUGGGUUCAGAACGUCGUGAGACAGUUCGGUCCAUAUCCGGUGUAGGCGUUAGAAUAUUGAGAGGAGCCUUCUUUAGUACGAGAGGACCGAGAAGGACAUACCUCUGGUGUACCAGUUAUCGUGCCAACGGUAAACGCUGGGUAGCUAUGUGUGGAGUGGAUAACCGCUGAAAGCAUCUAAGUGGGAAGCCCACCUCAAGAUAAGUAUUCUCAUC